RNAcentral lists this long non-coding RNA (587 nucleotides) under Calidris pygmaea (Spoon-billed sandpiper). Its description in RNAcentral is "lncRNA (ENSCPGG00000000373.1)". The record is from RNAcentral. Lineage: Eukaryota; Metazoa; Chordata; Aves; Charadriiformes; Scolopacidae.
CCCCCCAAACACCAGGGUCUCCCUCGAUCUCCUGGGGUCCCCCCCAAUCUCCUGGGUCCCCCCCAGUCUCCUGGGGUCCCCCCCAAGCCCCGUGUCCCCCCCCGCGGGGUGCCCCCAGGCUACGAGCUGUCCAAGCUGGAGAGCACGGUGGGGUCCCCCGAGAAGCCGCUCUCGGACCUGGGGAAGCUGAGCUACCGCAGCUACUGGUCCUGGGUGCUGCUGGAGAUCCUGAGGGACUUCCGGGGAACCCUCUCCAUCAAGGACCUCAGCCAGAUGACCAGCAUCACCCAGACGGACAUCAUCAGCACCCUCCAGUCCCUCAACAUGGUCAAGUACUGGAAGGGGCAGCACGUCAUCUGCGUCACCCCCAAGCUGGUGGAGGAGCACCUCAAGAGCGCCCAGUACAAGAAGCCCCCCAUCACCGUGGACUCCAUCUGCCUGCGCUGGGCGCCCCCCAAGCACAAACAGGCCAAGGUGGCCAAGAAGUGACCGAUGGGAGGUCAUCGCUGCGGCGAGUUGUGGCCGGGCUCAGCCUCUCCCCACCCCACGGGACCCACCAGGACUUGGGGGGCUCCCCACCCCACCCC